Molecule: ribosomal RNA, 253 nt
Filed under: uncultured prokaryote
Description: partial 16S ribosomal RNA
Rfam family: Bacterial small subunit ribosomal RNA
Source: RNAcentral
UACAGAGGGGGCAAGCGUUGUCCGGAAUUACUGGGCGUAAAGCGCGCGUAGGUGGUUCGUUAAGUUGGAUGUGAAAUCCCCGGGCUCAACCUGGGAACUGCAUUCAAAACUGUCGAGCUAGAGUGUGGUAGAGGGUGGUGGAAUUUCCUGUGUAGCGGUGAAAUGCGUAGAUGUAGGAAGGAACACCAGUGGCGAAGGCGACCACCUGGACUGAUACUGACACUGAGGUGCGAAAGCGUGGGGAGCAAACAGG